Long non-coding RNA from Triticum dicoccoides, 1965 nucleotides. RefSeq lists it as uncharacterized. The transcript has 8 exons. The record is from RefSeq and is a predicted model, not a curated record. NCBI's taxonomy places the organism in Eukaryota, Viridiplantae, Streptophyta, Magnoliopsida, Poales, Poaceae.
CCUCUCGCUUUCCUGUCUCUCUCUCUCUCCACAAAACACCGCCGCCGCCGCCACCGCCGAUUCCUCCUGGGCAUGGCCGUCUCCGGCGCCGCCAUCAAUAGACGGGACUCCACCUCGCCCCACUCUACCAAUUUCCCGCCCUAGCCGCUGCUCUACGCCCCCGCUUGCGCCCGCACAGGUAACCCUAGAGAGUAGAUCGUGGGGGAGGAUGGAGAAGAGGUCAUGGGGGAGGAAGAAGAGGAGGACAUGGAGGCCACGGGGGAGGAAGAAGAUGGCCCCCUCAUUCCCGAAGUUGGUCUUCGCAUCAACUGCGCUCGCUCCGCCUCUGCUUCCAGCGACCACGCCCGCCACAGUCUGUCACACAUAUCCAGUUGGAAUGCUAUGGCAGGGUUAUUAGCCAGGCAUGAGGCCUUUUGUCUUCUUAAAAACUAUUUGGUUGGAAUGAUUGACGUGCCACGCCACCGCUGCACUGAAUAACAGCGACGACGGCUAGUGAGCAGCAACCUGAGGUGCCGGUGUUAAGCGCGGAUGGCCAGAUCUGUGCGGCGGAGGGUGUGGCCGGUGCUGGGAUGGAGGUCUUGAUGCCGGCCUCCAAGCAGUCGGUAGGCGCAAUGGAUCCUAAAGUUCCAGGAUGGAUCAAAAGGGUGAGGAUUGGGGUGGAAGCACCUGUGAGGACACCUUGUCCCAGUCAAGCACGAGCUGGCGGUGGUGACGCCGCAUACGUUAUCCAGGAUCCUGCUCAGGGGUUUAGCCAUCGGCGACGAGAUCCAAAAGAUGGCCACGGCAGCAGUGGUGGCGGCAGUUGCCCCGGGUGGUGAUGUAGAGGGGAGGUACCAGUAGCAGGUAAAUGGAUGACUCUUCUUCUUGGAGCCCCAGGUUGUGGCAAAAAUCCCUAUUGCUAGCACUUGCAGGAAAGCUCAACCAAAACCAAAAGAUGUUCAUGGUAAGGCGCGACCGUUGGUGGAUUUCUGGUGGUACCUCAAGGAGACCUUCUUCCCAGGUGACCCAUUCCACGUGGCGGUGCCGGUGUGUGAGCGAGCUGCCAGACCGCACGUGGCGGCGGCGCUUCGAUACUUCUUCCCGUUCCUAGAGUGGGCGCCAGCCUACGGGCUGGGCACCUCAAGUCGGACCUCAUCGCCGGUACUUCUUCUGGUUCCUUGAAGUUUGAUAUCCAUGCCCCCCUUGUUAGAGCGGUCGAGAGAGAUGCGACAUGGAGUGAGGGAACUAUCAGGACCGGCAUAAGAGGUUGAUCUCCGCCCCGGUUUCCUCUAUGAUUACAUCAAGGAUGUAUUUUGUUGCUUGUUGGUUCUAUGUGCGGGAGCUCGAUGAUUGGGGGAGUUUAGAUCUGUGGUUUCAUUCUCAAAUUCUAUUCGUAUGGAUUGAGAUAUAGAUGAGAAGGUUUUAUUACUAACCAGAGGAAGUUUCUUCUCCCACUUCAUCAAGGAAGAACAAGCUUCCAGUGGCGGAGCUUGACCAAGUUCCUUGGGGGGGGCCAAAUAAAAUAUACAAGCUAGUUGGGGGGCCAAACACACAAAACUCUAUAAUCUAAGCUCUUUCUCCAAAUUAUUUAAGCCUGCAUGUGCCAAUCUUGGGGGGGCCACAGCCCCCCAGCAAUGCACUAAGCUCCGCCGCUGGCAGCUUCAUUCGGAUUUAUGUGAAUAUAAGCGUAAGAGGUCCAUAGGGAAUGAUACAAAAUAAUUUCAGACGUGAGUAUCCGGAUCGCAUUGCUACUGGUCGUCUCUUGCAAUUGCGUGCAACGGGCUUUUGACAAAGCCAAGUCAUGGCCUCAUGAGGAUGCUUUUGGAUUAACUGUAGUGCAUUGUACCGUUUUAUGCUCCAUGCCAGAGUUGUACAUAUCCUCAUUAGAUGUACCCCUGCCUAUGAUGGUUCUGAACUCUAUUAUAGUAUCUGUAUAUUUGAUCAAUGUGGUACUAUUAUAUCCUAAUGUUAUAACAUAUAUGCCCG